GGAGAUAGCUGGUUCUCCCCGAAAGCUAUUUAGGUAGCGCCUCGUGAAUUCAUCUCCGGGGGUAGAGCACUGUUUCGGCUAGGGGGUCAUCCCGACUUACCAACCCGAUGCAAACUGCGAAUACCGGAGAAUGUUAUCACGGGAGACACACGGCGGGUGCUAACGUCCGUCGUGAAGAGGGAAACAACCCAGACCGCCAGCUAAGGUCCCAAAGUCAUGGUUAAGUGGGAAACGAUGUGGGAAGGCCCAGACAGCCAGGAUGUUGGCUUAGAAGCAGCCAUCAUUUAAAGAAAGCGUAAUAGCUCACUGGUCGAGUCGGCCUGCGCGGAAGAUGUAACGGGGCUAAACCAUGCACCGAAGCUGCGGCAGCGACACUAUGUGUUGUUGGGUAGGGGAGCGUUCUGUAAGCCUGUGAAGGUGUGCUGUGAGGCAUGCUGGAGGUAUCAGAAGUGCGAAUGCUGACAUAAGUAACGAUAAAGCGGGUGAAAAGCCCGCUCGCCGGAAGACCAAGGGUUCCUGUCCAACGUUAAUCGGGGCAGGGUGAGUCGACCCCUAAGGCGAGGCCGAAAGGCGUAGUCGAUGGGAAACAGGUUAAUAUUCCUGUACUUGGUGUUACUGCGAAGGGGGGACGGAGAAGGCUAUGUUGGCCGGGCGACGGUUGUCCCGGUUUAAGCGUGUAGGCUGGUUUUCCAGGCAAAUCCGGAAAACCAAGGCUGAGGCGUGAUGACGAGGCACUACGGUGCUGAAGUGACAAAUGCCCUGCUUCCAGGAAAAGCCUCUAAGCAUCAGGUAACAUCAAAUCGUACCCCAAACCGACACAGGUGGUCAGGUAGAGAAUACCAAGGCGCUUGAGAGAACUCGGGUGAAGGAACUAGGCAAAAUGGUGCCGUAACUUCGGGAGAAGGCACGCUGAUAUGUAGGUGAAGCGACUUGCUCGUGGAGCUGAAAUCAGUCGAAGAUACCAGCUGGCUGCAACUGUUUAUUAAAAACACAGCACUGUGCAAACACGAAAGUGGACGUAUAGGGUGUGACGCCUGCCCGGUGCCGGAAGGUUAAUUGAUGGGGUUAGCGCAAGCGAAGCUCUUGAUCGAAGCCCCGGUAAACGGCGGCCGUAACUAUAACGGUCCUAAGGUAGCGAAAUUCCUUGUCGGGUAAGUUCCGACCUGCACGAAUGGCGUAAUGAUGGCCAGGCUGUCUCCACCCGAGACUCAGUGAAAUUGAACUCGCUGUGAAGAUGCAGUGUACCCGCGGCAAGACGGAAAGACCCCGUGAACCUUUACUAUAGCUUGACACUGAACAUUGAGCCUUGAUGUGUAGGAUAGGUGGGAGGCUUUGAAGCGUGGACGCCAGUCUGCGUGGAGCCAACCUUGAAAUACCACCCUUUAAUGUUUGAUGUUCUAACGUUGGCCCGUAAUCCGGGUUGCGGACAGUGUCUGGUGGGUAGUUUGACUGGGGCGGUCUCCUCCUAAAGAGUAACGGAGGAGCACGAAGGUUGGCUAAUCCUGGUCGGACAUCAGGAGGUUAGUGCAAUGGCAUAAGCCAGCUUGACUGCGAGCGUGACGGCGCGAGCAGGUGCGAAAGCAGGUCAUAGUGAUCCGGUGGUUCUGAAUGGAAGGGCCAUCGCUCAACGGAUAAAAGGUACUCCGGGGAUAACAGGCUGAUACCGCCCAAGAGUUCAUAUCGACGGCGGUGUUUGGCACCUCGAUGUCGGCUCAUCACAUCCUGGGGCUGAAGUAGGUCCCAAGGGUAUGGCUGUUCGCCAUUUAAAGUGGUACGCGAGCUGGGUUUAGAACGUCGUGAGACAGUUCGGUCCCUAUCUGCCGUGGGCGCUGGAGAACUGAG
RNAcentral lists this ribosomal RNA (1842 nucleotides) under Bacillus sp. CN2. RNAcentral describes it as "23S ribosomal RNA". It matches the Rfam family "Bacterial large subunit ribosomal RNA", at positions 841 to 2666 of the family's 2925-position model. The record is from RNAcentral. Lineage: Bacteria; Bacillati; Bacillota; Bacilli; Caryophanales; Bacillaceae.